RNAcentral lists this ribosomal RNA (253 nucleotides) under uncultured bacterium. Its description in RNAcentral is "partial 16S ribosomal RNA". It matches the Rfam family "Bacterial small subunit ribosomal RNA", at positions 524 to 776 of the family's 1533-position model. The record is from RNAcentral.
UACGUAGGCAGCAAGCGUUGUUCGGAAUUACUGGGCGUAAAGAGUGUGUAGGCGGUGCUCCAAGUCUGGUGUGAAAUCUCCCGGCUCAACUGGGAGGGUGCGCUAGAAACUGGAAUGCUAGAGGAUGGGAGAGGUAAGCGGAAUUCCUGGUGUAGCGGUGAAAUGCGUAGAUAUCAGGAGGAACACCUGCGGUGUAGACGGCUUACUGGACCACGACUGACACUGAAACUCGAAAGUGUGGGGAGCAAACAGG